CAAAGAUUAAGCCAUGCACGUCUCAGUGCAAGCCAAUUUAAGGUGAAACCGCGAAAGGCUCAUUAAAUCAGUUAUGGUUCCUUGGAUGGUACACACAGUUACUUGGAUAACUGUGGUAAUUCUAGAGCUAAUACAUGCAAAUUGGAACCUUUUCCAUUUACUGGAAUUGGUGCUUUUAUUAGAUCAAAACCAAUCAGGCUUAACGGCCUGUUGCUCUUGGUGACUCUGAAUAACUUUGGGCUGAUCGCAUGGUCUCGUACCGGCGACGCAUCUUUCAAAUGUCUGACUUAUCAACUUUCGAUGGUAGGCUCUGCGCCUACUAUGGUUGUAACGGGUAACGGAGAAUCAGGGUUCGAUUCCGGAGAGGGAGCCUGAGAAACGGCUACCACAUCCAAGGAAGGCAGCAGGCGCGCAAAUUACCCACUCCCAGAUCGGGGAGGUAGUGACGAAAAAUAACGAUGCAGAACUCAUUCCGAGGCUCUGCAAUCGGAAUGAGUACACUUUAAAUCAUUUAACGAGUAUCCAUUGGAGGAAAAGUCUGGUGCCAGCACCCGCGGUAAUUCCAGCUCCAAUAGCGUAUAUUAAAGUUGUUGCGGUUAAAAAGCUCGUAGUUGGAUCUGUGUCUCACGCUGUCGGUUCACUGUUUUGACAAUGUUUUAACUGAUAAGAAUGUUGGGACGUCAUGCCGGUUGGCGUGCGCUGUUAACAUGGUUCAUUCAGGGCUUCGGUCUUGGGUGGCUGUGUGGGUGCUUGCCAGUUCCAAUCCUGUCGCGGUGCUCUUCGCCGAGUGUCGAGGCGGGCCGGUACGUUUACCUUGAACAAAUUUGAGUGCUUAAAGCGGGCUGUUAUCGCUGGAAAACUGUGUGCAUGGAAUAAUAUAAUAGGACCGCGGUUCUAUUUUGUUGGUUUUCAGAGUCCGAGGUAAUGAUUAAUAGGGACAGGCGGGGGCAUUAGUAUUGCGACGCUAGAGGUGAAAUUCUUGGAUCGUCGCAAGACUAACCUAAGCGAAAGCAUUUGCCAAGGAUGCUUCCAUUAAUCAAGAACGAAAGUUAGAGGUUCGAAGGCGAUCAGAUACCGCCCUAGUUCUAACCAUAAACGAUGCCAGCCAGCGAUCCGUCGACGUUCCUCCGAUGACUCGACGGGCAGCUUCCGGGAAACUAAAGCAUUUGGGUUCCGGGGGAAGUAUGGUUGCAAAGCUGAAACUUAAAGGAAUUGACGGAAAGGCACCACCAGGAGUGGAGCCUGCGGCUUAAUUUGACUCAACACGGGAAACCUCACCAGGCCAGAACACUAAUAGGAUUGACAGAUUGAGAGCUCUUUCUUGAUUUAGUGGGUGGUGGUGCAUGGCCGUUCUUAGUUGGUGGAGCGAUUUGUCUGGUUAAUUCCGAUAACGAACGAGACUCCAGCCUACUAACUAGACGUAAUUUUAACCAGUAUCUAUGCUACUGGCGGUUCAUUCUCUUCUUAGAGGGACAGGCGGCUUCUAGCCGCACGAGACGGAGCAAUAACAGGUCUGUAAUGCCCUUAGAUGUUCUGGGCCGCACGCGCGCUACACUGAAGGAAUCAACGUGUGAUUUGCCCUAGACCGAAAGGCCCGGGUAACCCGUUGAACCUCCUUCGUGCUAGGGAUUGGGGUUUGCAAUUUUAUCCCAUGAACGAGGAAUUCCUAGUAAGUGCGAGUCAUAAGCUCGUGUUGAUUAGGUCCCUGCCUUUUGUGCACACCGCCCGUCGCUACUACCGAUUGAACGAUUUAGUGAGGUCUUCAGACC
RNAcentral lists this ribosomal RNA (1769 nucleotides) under Epipsocus sp. KY-2004. RNAcentral's name for it is "SSU rRNA". It matches the Rfam family "Eukaryotic small subunit ribosomal RNA". The record is from RNAcentral. Lineage: Eukaryota; Metazoa; Arthropoda; Insecta; Psocodea; Epipsocidae.